RNAcentral lists this microRNA precursor (102 nucleotides) under Marmota monax (woodchuck). Lineage: Eukaryota; Metazoa; Chordata; Mammalia; Rodentia; Sciuridae. The record is from RNAcentral.
AGUGGGAUAGCUGGGUCAAAUGGUUGUUCCAUUCCCAGUUUUCCAAGGAAUAUCCAUACUGUUUCCAUAUGGGAUGCACCAUUUUGCAGUUCCACUAGCAAU